This 749-nucleotide ribosomal RNA is filed under the name Cyclorhipidion foersteri. RNAcentral's name for it is "eukaryotic LSU rRNA". It matches the Rfam family "Eukaryotic large subunit ribosomal RNA", at positions 521 to 887 of the family's 3401-position model. Lineage: Eukaryota; Metazoa; Arthropoda; Insecta; Coleoptera; Curculionidae. The record is from RNAcentral.
AAGGGAGAAAUUCAUUCGCGUUUCGACGUAGGCGUCGGACGGGGUCGUGUUGACGGAAACACGUUUCUUUCGGAACGAGUUUUCGCGCCCCCCGUUUCGUUUCGAACCGGCGACGAACGCGUGCACUUUUCUCCUGGUAGGACGUCGCGAUCCGUCGGGUGUCGGUCUACGACUUGCGGUGGAGACCGUCCGUCGUCUUCGGACGUACGGGACGGACCCGCUCGUUCUGGCCGACUCGCUCGACGGUAUACGAAAGGUCGGAGGCCGCUCGUUUUCAAUAAAGGAGCGUUCGACUCGUCGCAAGCGCGCCACGUGCGUCGGCACGCGGACCUAGUGCCGCGUUCGACCUCUGGUGACUGUUGGCGACGACGUUCUCGAACAGACCUCAACGCACGUCGAUUUUUAAUCGAAUGUGUGUGUGACCGAUCGGCGACGCUAUAGCUUUGGGUACUUUCAGGACCCGUCUUGAAACACGGACCAAGGAGUCUAGCAUGUACGCGAGUCAUUGGGACUCGCUAAACCUAAAGGCGUAAUGAAAGUGAAGGUCUUCCUCGCGAAGACCGAGGGAAGACGGACGGUUGUCUCAAACCACCCUCAAAAGUGGGACCGUCCUGCAUUCCCGGGGCGUCUCUUUCACAUUGCGUGAAGAGGCGCACCAAGAGCGUACACGCUGGGACCCGAAAGAUGGUGAACUAUGCCUGGUCAGGACGAAGUCAGGGGAAACCCUGAUGGAGGUCCGUAGCGAUUCU